This 72-nucleotide transfer RNA is filed under the name Danio rerio (zebrafish). It matches the Rfam family "tRNA". Rfam says of the family: Transfer RNA (tRNA) molecules are approximately 80 nucleotides in length. Lineage: Eukaryota; Metazoa; Chordata; Actinopteri; Cypriniformes; Danionidae. The record is from Rfam by way of RNAcentral.
GGGGGUGUAGCUCAGUGGUAGAGCAUUUGACUGCAGGCCAAAAGGUCCCUGGUUUAAAUUCUUGUUUCCCCU